Chelonia mydas (Green sea turtle) is the source of this 650-nucleotide long non-coding RNA. RefSeq lists it as uncharacterized. The transcript is spliced from 3 exons. Lineage: Eukaryota; Metazoa; Chordata; Testudines; Cheloniidae. The record is from RefSeq and is a predicted model, not a curated record.
GAAGUGCAGUUGAAGGGCUGGUUAAUGAAGACACCCUCAAGCCAUUGGGGCUGUAAGGACUCCAUUCAAUGAUUAGGGUCCUAUUAUGCCAGUGCCUAGUGCAAAUAGCACGGUGACAUUCCCUGUCCCACAAAGGUCACAAUCUGGUAUCUAUACAACAGGUAACACCCACCAGAUAGGAUUUACACUGGUGCCAGACAGCUGGGACACUUAACUCUCUCAAUGGGCUUUUCCCACCCAAAUAGCUUUUCCUGCGGAUGCCGCAGACUCCAAGGGGCAAAUGGCCACCCAUUGUGAGUUAUCAAAGCGUGUAAGGACAUGCAUGAUAUGCUCAUGUGACCCUGGAUUCCAUCUUGGGCCAGUAACUUUCCACAAACAGAGGCUGUGGGCUUUGUUUGGGACAUUAAAAUUCCAUGUACAUGGCAGAGGAUGUAAAAGGAUCUCUGAACAUCUUCAUUUUGUCAUUUCCUGCUUCAUUUUUUCUGGACUGGAUUUCUAUCAAGGAAUCUUUGGACAAGGACUGAUGACCCGUAAUAUGUUUGGGUAAUUCCAGAGAGACUUUUAUAAGAUAGCAGUUUAUUCCAUCACUGCUGUGAUCCUGAUAUAUGAACACUUUGAAUUCUCUUGUAUGUAUCUGAUAUACUAGCCAU